GAUGAAUGCUGGCGGCGUGCCUAACACAUGCAAGUCGAGCGGCAGCGCGAGUAGUUUACUACUUGGCGGCGAGCGGCGGACGGCUGAGUAACGCGUGGGAACGUGCCCCAAAGUGAGGAAUAGCUGCCCGAAAGGGUGGCUAAUGCCGCAUAUGAUCUUCGGAUUAAAGUCUUCGGACGCUUUGGGAGCGGCCCGCGUCGGAUUAGGUAGUUGGUGAGGUAAUGGCUCACCAAGCCGACGAUCCGUAGCUGGUCUGAGAGGAUGAUCAGCCAGACUGGUACUGAGACACGGCCCAGACUCCUACGGGAGGCAGCAGUGAGGAAUCUUCCACAAUGGGCGAAAGCCUGAUGGAGCAACGCCGCGUGAAGGAUGAAGGCCCUCGGGUUGUAAACUUCUUUUAUAAGUGAAGAAUAUGACGGUAACUUAUGAAUAAGCACCGGCUAACUACGUGCCAGCCGCCGCCGUAA
This 467-nucleotide ribosomal RNA is filed under the name uncultured bacterium. RNAcentral's name for it is "partial 16S ribosomal RNA". It matches the Rfam family "Bacterial small subunit ribosomal RNA", at positions 28 to 523 of the family's 1533-position model. The record is from RNAcentral.